GAUGAACGCUGGCGGCGUGCCUAAUACAUGCAAGUCGAGCGAACGGACGAGAAGCUUGCUUUGCUGAUGUUAGCGGCGGACGGGUGAGUAACACGUGGAUAACCUACCUAUAAGACUGGGAUAACUUCGGGAAACCGGAUCUAAUACCGGAUAAUAUUUUGAACCGCAUGGUUCAAAAGUGAAAGACGUUCUUGCUGUCACUUAUAGAUGUAUCCGCGCUGCAUUAGCUAGUUGGUAAGGUAACGGCUUACCAAGGCAACGAUACAUAGCCGACCUGAGAGGGUGAUCGGCCACACUGGAACUGAGACACGGUCCAGACUCCUACGGGAGGCAGCAGUAGGGAAUCUUCCGCAAUGGGCGAAAGCCUGACGGAGCAACGCCGCGUGAGUGAUGAAGGUCUUCGGAUCGUAAAACUCUGUUAUUAGGGAAGAACAUAUGUGUAAGUAACUGUGCACAUCUUGACGGUACCUAAUCAGAAAGCCACGGCUAACUACGUG
Molecule: ribosomal RNA, 497 nt
Filed under: uncultured bacterium
Lineage: Bacteria
Description: partial 16S ribosomal RNA
Rfam family: Bacterial small subunit ribosomal RNA
Source: RNAcentral